GGGGAUGUAGCUCAGUUGGUAGAGCGCCUGCUUUGCACGCAGGAGGCCAGGGGUUCGAAUCUCCUCAUCUCCA
RNAcentral lists this transfer RNA (73 nucleotides) under Planctomycetota bacterium. Its description in RNAcentral is "Planctomycetes bacterium tRNA-Ala". It matches the Rfam family "tRNA". From Rfam's summary of the family: Transfer RNA (tRNA) molecules are approximately 80 nucleotides in length. Their secondary structure includes four short double-helical elements and three loops (D, anti-codon, and T loops). Further hydrogen bonds mediate the characteristic L-shaped molecular structure. tRNAs have two regions of fundamental functional importance: the anti-codon, which is responsible for specific mRNA codon recognition, and the 3' end, to which the tRNAs corresponding amino acid is attached (by aminoacyl-tRNA synthetases). tRNAs cope with the degeneracy of the genetic code in two manners: having more than one tRNA (with a specific anti-codon) for a particular amino acid; and 'wobble' base-pairing, i.e. permitting non-standard base-pairing at the 3rd anti-codon position. The record is from RNAcentral. Lineage: Bacteria; Pseudomonadati; Planctomycetota.